This 461-nucleotide ribosomal RNA is filed under the name Cutibacterium avidum. Its description in RNAcentral is "bacterial SSU rRNA". It matches the Rfam family "Bacterial small subunit ribosomal RNA", at positions 12 to 487 of the family's 1533-position model. Lineage: Bacteria; Bacillati; Actinomycetota; Actinomycetes; Propionibacteriales; Propionibacteriaceae. The record is from RNAcentral.
UUUGAUCAUGGCUCAGGACGAACGCUGGCGGCGUGCUUAACACAUGCAAGUCGAACGGAAAGGCCCCUUUGGGGGUACUCGAGUGGCGAACGGGUGAGUAACACGUGAGUAACCUGCCCUUGACUUCGGGAUAACUUCAGGAAACUGGGGCUAAUACCGGAUAGGAAUCCUUGCUGCAUGGUGGGGGUUGGAAAGCUUCGGCGGUUUUGGAUGGACUCGCGGCUUAUCAGCUUGUUGGUGGGGUAGUGGCUUACCAAGGCUUUGACGGGUAGCCGGCCUGAGAGGGCGACCGGCCACAUUGGGACUGAGAUACGGCCCAGACUCCUACGGGAGGCAGCAGUGGGGAAUAUUGCACAAUGGGCGGAAGCCUGAUGCAGCAACGCCGCGUGCGGGAUGACGGCCUUCGGGUUGUAAACCGCUUUCAGCAGGGGCGAAGCUUGUGGUGACGGUACCUGCAGAAG